RNAcentral lists this ribosomal RNA (61 nucleotides) under Fusobacterium necrophorum subsp. funduliforme. Its description in RNAcentral is "partial 16S ribosomal RNA". The stretch from base 1 to 51 matches the Rfam family "Bacterial small subunit ribosomal RNA", at positions 1483 to 1533 of the family's 1533-position model. Lineage: Bacteria; Fusobacteriati; Fusobacteriota; Fusobacteriia; Fusobacteriales; Fusobacteriaceae. The record is from RNAcentral.
AAGUCGUAACAAGGUAUCCGUACGGGAACGUGCGGAUGGAUCACCUCCUUUCUAAGGAGUA